Molecule: ribosomal RNA, 253 nt
Filed under: uncultured bacterium
Lineage: Bacteria
Description: partial 16S ribosomal RNA
Rfam family: Bacterial small subunit ribosomal RNA
Source: RNAcentral
UACGAAGGGUGCAAGCGUUACUCGGAAUUACUGGGCGUAAAGCGUGCGUAGGUGGUUCGUUAAGUCUGUCGUGAAAGCCCCGGGCUCAACCUGGGAAUGGCGAUGGAUACUGGCGGGCUAGAGUGCGGUAGAGGGUGGUGGAAUUCCCGGUGUAGCAGUGAAAUGCGUAGAGAUCGGGAGGAACAUCAGUUGCGAAGGCGACCCCCUGGUUGGAUACUGACGCUGAGACGCGAAAGCGUGGGGAGCAAACAGG